Molecule: ribosomal RNA, 440 nt
Filed under: uncultured bacterium
Lineage: Bacteria
Description: partial 16S ribosomal RNA
Rfam family: Bacterial small subunit ribosomal RNA
Source: RNAcentral
CCUACGGGAGGCAGCAGUGGGGAAUAUUGCACAAUGGGGGAAACCCUGAUGCAGCGACGCCGCGUGAGUGAGGAAGUAUUUCGGUAUGUAAAGCUCUAUCAGCAGGGAAGAAAAUGACGGUACCUGACUAAGAAGCCCCGGCUAACUACGUGCCAGCAGCCGCGGUAAUACGUAGGGGGCAAGCGUUAUCCGGAUUUACUGGGUGUAAAGGGAGCGUAGACGGUUAAUCAAGUCAGAAGUGAAAACCCGGGGCUCAACCUUGGGACUGCUUUUGAAACUGAGUAGCUAGAGUGCAGGAGAGGUAAGCGGAAUUCCUAGUGUAGCGGUGAAAUGCGUAGAUAUUAGGAGGAACACCAGUGGCGAAGGCGGCUUACUGGACUGUAACUGACGUUGAGGCUCGAAAGCGUGGGGAGCAAACAGGAUUAGAUACCCUGGUAGUC